UUUCUGUGGUUAACUGGAGAUAAGAGACUCACAGACUUUCCUACUAGGACUGGCUUCAAAGCACAAUCCUCAGAAUUCAGCCUCUUGAGCAGCAAGGACCAGAAGUGUGAGCUACCUACUCAGCAAAGAAACAGAUUUUUAUUCCAUUCUUCUUCAAAAAGAAAAGAAUAUGUCUCUAUAUAUGCAUAAUUGUAUAUACCAAUAAAAGUCACCUGGUAACCUCUGAAUGAAAGGUCAUUUUCCUUAAGGAAGUUGCCUUGACAGUGAAGGAGAGAUUAGACUUUCUACAUUCUGAGGUGUGUGGAUUUCUCACAAAUAUUUCUUUUGUAAUUAAUACUGGAAACGGGAAGUAAUCAAAUAUAAAUCUGAUUAUUAAUCCUUACAGUUUAAAACUCUCUAAGGACCUUUAGUUUAAACUACCAAAUUUGGCACAGAAGGCAUUUUUUUGCUCUACCCGCAAUUCUUGUUCCCCUUUUUGCCUUAUGAGCCCUAUACUUACUGUGCUUUGCUUCUUGUGUAUACCUGUUAUGAGAAUUAACUGAAAAAGAACCAAGAACAGAGCUUUGGGGAAUCAUAUACACUUAUGGGGCAGAAAGAAGAAAAUAUUAUCAUAGAGAUUAUCUUUUUUAAAAAGCAGGGUGGGAUGGUUAAAGAUAAAGGAAGCAAACCAGGGUAAUAAAAGCAUUAAAUAAAAGCCCAGAGAACAGAGAAUUUUGAGAAGGGAGGAAAUCUUGGAGCCAUCAACAGUGUUUGAGACUGAAACACUUCACAAUCAUAUUUUUAAUGACAAAUUUACUAUUCCCACGAAGACAUUUUAACAUCCACCUAAUAAGUUAAUAACAUUAUCAUUUCUAUCCUUCAAAGUUCAAAACACAGUAGACUAUAUGUUUCACAAAAUAAAACUGGACUUUUAAGGAAUGACAAACUAGGAACACACUAACACAUUACAGUCAAACAGUAUAUUUUAAAAGUAAUCUCUUACUACUUUUAAAAAAGUCAGCAACUGAAUAAGAAAGAUUUAUCAAGUAAAAACCAAUGCACUAUAUGCAUUUUAAACCAGUCUGAAUGUUUAGCAAUAAAACCUCAACCUUUCUUCAGUGACAACAAACAAGCUAAUGAUACACUAAAGCCUUGAGGUCAAAAUAACAUUUUAAAGUAUUUUUACUACUUCUAAUCAAACAUAGAAAUUACAACAUUAUCAAUAAAGUUCCCACCUGAGACAUCCUUAAGGGCAAAAGACCUGUACCACUCAAUGCCUGGCACAUAGGAAGCUAUAGAAACAUACUUGUAAAGUAAAUGGCGUAAUUUAAUGAAUAGGGUUCAUAUAAUGUACAACAUUCUGUUCAUAAAGGUGCUGUCAGAUUAUGUCAAAACUACUUUUAGAAGUUUGACUAGUUCUGAAAUUUUGAUGGCAAGACUAUUGGACUUGAUUAUGAAUCAACGCUGCUGAUUAGCUAAAUCCCAGUUUUUCCAUCACUGGUACUAGGAAAAAGUGUUCCGAUGAAGUGUGCAGAAUUUAAAACACAAGAAGAUAGGAGUCUGCUGGGAAUUGUUAAACCAAAUAGGCUAUGGUGUGAUAAACAGAAGAUGAGCACAGAGCUGGAGUCUAGCUCUCAGGUUUACAAGCUGAGUGAACAUAAUUUUCUAAGUCAUGUAUUCAUCAUCUCUCAGAAGAAAGUUAAUAUGAAGACUUAAGUAAAUAAAACACUGUAGAUAUCAAACGAUAAAUAUUAGAUUCAGGUAAUCUAUUUGAACCACAGAAAUACUAGGCACAGAUAUUGAACUUAGAAGAAAAUAAUUUUAAAUGUAUCAAGACAGAGAGAAAUUUGGGCAGGCUGCCUUUCCAGGGACCAGAUGUCAACUCUACAUGCAGGAUAUGCCAUAGAAACUAUGAUGAAAUACUUAUCUAAUGUACAAACUGUACAGAGCUAGGAAGGACAGUUCAUAUAUCAGAUGAGAGAAUAAGUAGGUAAAAUGAUAACUGGAUUUAAUCCCUUUCCUAUGGAUAAAAUCCAGGGAUGAGCUCCUAAGGAACAGUGAGUUGGCUUGGCUUUCAUAAUUAACAAACACAGGGCAUUGAAAUAUUUCAUGAGCUCACAAAACCUGAGUCAUUUAGUAUAAAUAAGAGCUUAUGCAAAGCUUAAAUACUAAGUACAUAAGAAUUAGAAGAAUGUAUACAAUUGAAGCUUUUUUAGUAUAAUAUAAUGAAGCCUGCCCCAAACAAGUGUUAUACUAAGCUAACAGCAAUUUGAUUUCCACAACAAGAGAUGUAAUAGGGCUACUUUGCCCUGAUCUAAAGUCAUCUGCAUUCAAAUGUCAAUUCAAAAAUGCAAACAUUUGUAUAAGUCCUUUAAAAUACUUCAAAAUUAUGAGUCCAAUGAGGAAUAGAGGCUAGGCUUGGUGGCUCUUGUCUAUACCACCUACCCAGAAGGCAGAGAAGGGGAGACUAUGGUUCAAGGCCAUUCUAAGUAAAAAGUUAGCUAUAUCCUAUCUCAAUGAAGCAGUCAGGUAUGCUGGCA
Long non-coding RNA from Perognathus longimembris pacificus (Pacific pocket mouse), 2519 nucleotides. RefSeq lists it as uncharacterized. Lineage: Eukaryota; Metazoa; Chordata; Mammalia; Rodentia; Heteromyidae. The transcript is spliced from 3 exons. The record is from RefSeq and is a predicted model, not a curated record.